Styela clava is the source of this 3467-nucleotide non-coding RNA. The record is from RefSeq and is a predicted model, not a curated record. Lineage: Eukaryota; Metazoa; Chordata; Ascidiacea; Stolidobranchia; Styelidae.
UGUAGGCGAUAAUAUAUUGAGCCAUGUUUCUACAAGAGCAUUUUGGGAUUCAUAACUCAUAUAGAGUUGUAACCUGGAUAUACUGGGAGUAGCUGUACCUGGAUAUGCUGAGCUUAUUGAGAGUAGCUGAACAGUCCAGUGAAUGAAAACAAAGAUCUCGCCAGACAUGCUGGAGGAUGACAACUUCAUUGACCUUAUCACAAGACUUCAAGGUCGUAGGAUGGACGAUCAACGAUGUGAAAUGAGAGACGACCAAUAUGAGUUACCUGCGUUUUUAAGACCUAACCCUCCAGACCCUCCCUCAAAUCAUCACCCGGCAGAGAAUGGGGCAAUGGGGGGAUGAUAACCCAUUGGAAAUGAUGGGGACGGUCAACAUCAGCAAAUUUCAACAAUGAUGAAUAAUAUGUUAGCAAACUUGCAAUCAAAACGCAUGGAUGAGCAAAGGGUGAGUCUCUCUGGACUUCCUGGGUUAAGGGUCAACGGCGAAGGAGUCAUCAAUCUGCAACAACCAGAUGGCGCUGCAGCUCCACUACCAGUGGUUCUUCGACCAAGACUGGAAAACGGUGGAAUACCAUGAAAUGAAAACAGACAUCCACUCGAUGACACAUUUUUUAACGCUCUCAUGAGAUGCCAGAGCACGAGGUUAAAUGACCAGCGCUCGUCACCUCCCAUAUUCGACGCUCCGGUGCUGCUAACGCCCACUAUCCCAGACGAAGAUUGAUUGUUCGAAUGCAAUCGUCAAGAAUCGAGGACCAGCGCUGCCGUUUUGGUCCCAAAUGGGAAUCCCCUCCUAAUGUGGACCCCGAUAAUGACGACAUAUCACAGUAAAUGUGGGACACAUUUCGAUGCCCACUGUGGCACUAAAUGGUUGUUGUAAACUUGUUCUGUGGCAUUUUUGUGAUGCCUUGCAAUGUUUUUUACUCAGUGGCAUCAGAUAUGUGCCAUGCCACACCUCAUACCUUGCUGUGUUUUAUUACAUGAGAGCCAUGGCACCUACCAAACGGCAUCGAAUAGCCACUAUUGUUUUGCUCAUUGUGUUUUGAAAAACAAUGACGUUUUAUAAAAUUUGUGGCAUCAAAAGUGUACUAAUGCCAUGUAACAUGGUUCCUGUGUUUCAGGCAGUGGCAUCAAAACAAACCAUGCCACCUACUAGCGAGGCAUGGAGAGAAUUAUUUUCAUUUUCACACUGAGGCAUUCAAUAAUGCCUUGAAAUCAAUUUGAUGCCCCAUUUAAAUGCCAUGCUGCCGUAGUAAAUAUCAUCCAACUAUGGGUUUAGGGAUUGACCUCCCAUUUUCUUUGUCAUGGUUAAGAUGCCACUAACUUCCUGUGCCACCAUUGAAGAUGUUUUUGCUGCCAUGUAGUAAUUUUAUUUCUAAUUAUGUCACGCUUAAGCUAACAUUGUGCAGUUGUAGAAAUGAAAUAUUAAUUAUGCAUCAUAAAUACAGUGCUUGAAAUAAGCUGUUAAUUGUGAAGUAACCAACUACGGUCAGGUCUGUGAAGUAGGAAGAAAUUUACGCACUGACUUGAAAAAUAAUUCGUAUGUAUGUAUAGUUAUUAGCUUUGAAAUUUGAAAGCGCCCGCAUAAUUAAUUAAAAAUUAACAAGGCCUUAACUGGCCUAAGACACAGUUGUCUGACAUCUAUUCUUCACUAACGGAACAACGGUUAAAGACUACCAAGUUGAAAUGGGACAAUACACAUAGAAAUAUGGAAGUAAAAACUCAAGCGCAGUGGUUCCCAAGUGGGAGCCCCGUAACCCCCCAAAGGGGCCACAAAGCAAUUGUAGGGGGGCCACAACGUUAGGCUCAAAUCUGAUCUUCUUUUAAUAUCAAUAAAACUAAAAUCGCAAAAAAUUUUGAUACAUUUAAUAUCAUGAAAAAAAAAACUUGCCAAAGUCCGAAAAUUUAGGAUAUGCUCCCAUACACAAACUCUGAAAGAAAAAUAAUUUUGGACUACAAAAACUUCUGGCAUAUUUAGGCCUCAAAGCGCUCCGAAUAUCGAAUGAUUCGAAUAUCUAAUUCCAGACCCAUAAAGUUGAGGGUUUCAAAAUAUCGAUGAAAUCGUGUCAAACUCUCACCCUACAGGCUGGCCUUCAUUACUAACAUCGGUGAAAAAAUUUGAUAAUCGAAACUUACAACUCUUCUACACAUUAGCUGCUUUAAUAAUUUUUUAUUUCAACUUUGUGUCUGUUUAUUAAGUUUAGUUAAUUUCAGUACGAUUUCUUUGAAUAAUCAUUGAGGUGUGACUGGUCAGAAUAAUCUAAUGUUAAUGUAAUGGUGUCAGUGCUGCUAUUUUUAAGCUUCAGUACAAUUUCUUUCAGUAUAACCAUUGAGGCGUGUCUGGUCAGAAUUAUCUAAUGCUAGUAUAAAGGUGUCAGUGCUGCUAUUUUCAAACUCCUUUAUUUUUGAUGUUGAAUCACACUGAAGUUAACUUGACCUCUUUUUCAACUGCUACAAAGUUUUUUAAUGUGAAUAUUGUUUCAAAUUUCAUUUUCUAUGAUCGUAAUUUUCAAAAAUCCGAAUCUGGAAAAAUGUAGUAAUUCACCUUUCUCAUACCUGAUUUAAGACCAGGGCUUCGGAGCCGGUGAAAUUUAUAAUCGACUGCCGACUUUGUUGGAAAAAAUUUUUCAUUCCGGCUGAUAGUAGGGAAAAUUAAAUCUUGAUUAUGAAACUCUGGCAUCUGCAAGUUUCCUUAAUUGUUUAUUUAAAACGGUGAGGUAAAGCAUACCCUCUAAAAAUGGCUCGGAACGAUAAUUUUUUUCGUGUGUGUGUGUGCACUCUUAUCGUGAAAUCGUUAGUUUGAGUACCAACUUCUCAUUCACCGCUAUGUUUCUUUAUCAUAGAUGUGAGAUAGCUGUGGCAAUACAGUGGUUGCCUUUAAGUUCACUACAAAUGAGUCUACGUUGCUUCUGAGUGAGUGUAAACACCUUGCUUUGAGCAAAUUAUUUCUCAGCCAAGUCGCUUCUGUACCGGGUCAAGGUUGAUGUUUAAUUAAUUCAACUUUUUUCAUUUUCUUCUUGUUUUAUUAACACUGUACAUUCAUUUUGAACUAAUUUUUUCCUGUUUUUUUUUCUUUUUCUUAUUUUUAUUCUUUUUCGAGUGAAUUCUGUUAGGAAAAAAGGGUGGCGUUCUCUUCAAUGCAUAAUUUGCAAUUCCGAUGUUCAGAAACAUUUUUCCACAAAUUAUUGGGCGUUCCAGAAGUAUAUUUACCAAUAUGGAGGUAUCUAAUUUUGUUCGCCUAUUUUACAUCAAGUUGUGUAAAGGGAAUGAAACCUAUGGGCAGGGGGUAUAUUCACUUGACUAAUACAAACAGUUUCCGGGACUCUUAAUAGAACUAAAAUAAGGAAAAUUGGAAUAAAAUUAUGGCCUAACUCUGACCUGGUACACAUACUAUAUAAUAAAAAUUAUGAAUGAAUAGCCCUGGUUUUUGUAGCAAGAUAACUCUUUAUAACUAAAUUUUGUUUUAAUCA